This 884-nucleotide long non-coding RNA is filed under the name Sarcophilus harrisii (Tasmanian devil). Its description in RNAcentral is "lncRNA (ENSSHAG00000028107.1)". The record is from RNAcentral. Lineage: Eukaryota; Metazoa; Chordata; Mammalia; Dasyuromorphia; Dasyuridae.
ACGCUACAGUGAUAGUAACAGGAAAGCCUCCACCAAGAAAGCAAAGCUCUCCCUCUCUUUCCCUUUUCCCCCCUUGCUCCUUCCCCUCCUCCCGCCCUGGCCUCACCCCUCAAUUCCUCUGCAGCUCCGAGUAGGGCAAGGAGAGGGCGCCUGUUUCUCAAAGAGUCCCACCAAGAAGCAGCGGGUGUUGGGCACGAGGAUUGGGGAUGGACUCGUGCUGCACGCGCGGAUUCCAGCUCGAGAGAUAAAGCCCUACUAAAAAAUGAGAUCAGGCAACUGACCCUAUUCUCUGUCCGGCCCGGAGCAGGGUGGGGGAGGCAGAUUAAGAGAGAGAUGGAAGAUAAAAAAAAAAAAAAAAAAAAAAAAAAAAGCAAAGCUGUGUGUGUGUGUGUGUGUGUGUGUGUGUGUGUGUGUGUGUGUCCGCGCGCGCCCCCCGUGCCCGCGGCUUUGAUGCUGAAACUCCCUGAGCUGGGCGUGUUUACUGAUUUUUUUUUCUUUGCCACGCAGAUGAGAUGCCAGACUGCCGAGGCCUUGAGAACGUUGGCUAAUCCUGGGCUUUGGGCUCAGUUACAACUCACAAGAUGAGAACAGGACCCAGACAGCAGGCAGUCCUGUCUUUAACCCUUGAUGCACCUGGCUCUUAAACUUCAAAUUAAGGCAAGAAUUAUACCGCUGGAACUCUCCCGCUGCCUAUUUAUAGCCUACUUUUAGAUAGAAUUCCUGUAUCACUCGAGUUCCAAAAUUUUCUGUGUGCUAUGGACACUUCCCCCUACCGCCCCCCCCCCCACAUUUCCCUAUUAUGUCAGUCAAGAGAGUCCUAUCCACCUCUUCUUAGAAAAAGGUUUUUUAAUGUAUCAAAAUUUUUAAAACACUUAAAAUUAUAA